RNAcentral lists this ribosomal RNA (690 nucleotides) under uncultured bacterium. RNAcentral describes it as "bacterial SSU rRNA". It matches the Rfam family "Bacterial small subunit ribosomal RNA", at positions 1 to 690 of the family's 1533-position model. The record is from RNAcentral.
AGAUUAGAGUUUGAUCAUGGCUCAGAUUGAACGCUGGCGGCAGGCCUAACACAUGCAAGUCGAACGGUAACAGAACUAGCUUGCUAGUUGCUGACGAGUGGCGGACGGGUGAGUAAUACUUAGGGAUCUGCCUCUGUGUGGGGGAUAACUAUUGGAAACGAUAGCUAAUACCGCAUAACGUCUACGGACCAAAGAGGGCUUCGGCUCUCGCGCAGAGAGGAACCUAAGCGAGAUUAGCUUGUUGGUGAGGUAAAGGCUCACCAAGGCGACGAUCUCUAGCUGUUCUGAGAGGAAGAUCAGCCACACUGGAACUGAGACACGGUCCAGACUCCUACGGGAGGCAGCAGUGGGGAAUAUUGCACAAUGGGGGCAACCCUGAUGCAGCCAUGCCGCGUGUGUGAAGAAGGCCUUCGGGUUGUAAAGCACUUUCAGUUGUGAGGAAAGGUUAGUAGUUAAUACCUGCUAGCUGUGACGUUAACAACAGAAGAAGCACCGGCUAACUCCGUGCCAGCAGCCGCGGUAAUACGGAGGGUGCGAGCGUUAAUCGGAAUUACUGGGCGUAAAGCGCACGCAGGCGGUCUGUUAAGCUAGAUGUGAAAGCCCCGCGCUCAACGUGGGAGGGUCAUUUAGAACUGGCAGACUAGAGUCUUGGAGAGGGGAGUGGAAUUCCAGGUGUAGCGGUGAAAUGCG